RNAcentral lists this ribosomal RNA (1881 nucleotides) under Shigella sonnei. Its description in RNAcentral is "bacterial LSU rRNA". It matches the Rfam family "Bacterial large subunit ribosomal RNA", at positions 1065 to 2925 of the family's 2925-position model. The record is from RNAcentral. Lineage: Bacteria; Pseudomonadati; Pseudomonadota; Gammaproteobacteria; Enterobacterales; Enterobacteriaceae.
GGGAAACGAUGUGGGAAGGCCCAGACAGCCAGGAUGUUGGCUUAGAAGCAGCCAUCAUUUAAAGAAAGCGUAAUAGCUCACUGGUCGAGUCGGCCUGCGCGGAAGAUGUAACGGGGCUAAACCAUGCACCGAAGCUGCGGCAGCGACGCUUAUGCGUUGUUGGGUAGGGGAGCGUUCUGUAAGCCUGCGAAGGUGUGCUGUGAGGCAUGCUGGAGGUAUCAGAAGUGCGAAUGCUGACAUAAGUAACGAUAAAGCGGGUGAAAAGCCCGCUCGCCGGAAGACCAAGGGUUCCUGUCCAACGUUAAUCGGGGCAGGGUGAGUCGACCCCUAAGGCGAGGCCGAAAGGCGUAGUCGAUGGGAAACAGGUUAAUAUUCCUGUACUUGGUAUUACUGCGAAGGGGGGACGGAGAAGGCUAUGUUGGCCGGGCGACGGUUGUCCCGGUUUAAGCGUGUAGGCUGGUUUUCCAGGCAAAUCCGGAAAAUCAAGGCUGAGGCGUGAUGACGAGGCACUACGGUGCUGAAGCAACAAAUGCCCUGCUUCCAGGAAAAGCCUCUAAGCAUCAGGUAACAUCAAAUCGUACCCCAAACCGACACAGGUGGUCAGGUAGAGAAUACCAAGGCGCUUGAGAGAACUCGGGUGAAGGAACUAGGCAAAAUGGUGCCGUAACUUCGGGAGAAGGCACGCUGAUAUGUAGGUGAAGUCCCUUGCGGAUGGAGCUGAAAUCAGUCGAAGAUACCAGCUGGCUGCAACUGUUUAUUAAAAACACAGCACUGUGCAAACACGAAAGUGGACGUAUACGGUGUGACGCCUGCCCGGUGCCGGAAGGUUAAUUGAUGGGGUCAGCGCAAGCGAAGCUCUUGAUCGAAGCCCCGGUAAACGGCGGCCGUAACUAUAACGGUCCUAAGGUAGCGAAAUUCCUUGUCGGGUAAGUUCCGACCUGCACGAAUGGCGUAAUGAUGGCCAGGCUGUCUCCACCCGAGACUCAGUGAAAUUGAACUCGCUGUGAAGAUGCAGUGUACCCGCGGCAAGACGGAAAGACCCCGUGAACCUUUACUAUAGCUUGACACUGAACAUUGAGCCUUGAUGUGUAGGAUAGGUGGGAGGCUUUGAAGUGUGGACGCCAGUCUGCAUGGAGCCGGCCUUGAAAUACCACCCUUUAAUGUUUGAUGUUCUAACGUGGACCCGUGAUCCGGGUUGCGGACAGUGUCUGGUGGGUAGUUUGACUGGGGCGGUCUCCUCCUAAAGAGUAACGGAGGAGCACGAAGGUUGGCUAAUCCUGGUCGGACAUCAGGAGGUUAGUGCAAUGGCAUAAGCCAGCUUGACUGCGAGCGUGACGGCGCGAGCAGGUGCGAAAGCAGGUCAUAGUGAUCCGGUGGUUCUGAAUGGAAGGGCCAUCGCUCAACGGAUAAAAGGUACUCCGGGGAUAACAGGCUGAUACCGCCCAAGAGUUCAUAUCGACGGCGGUGUUUGGCACCUCGAUGUCGGCUCAUCACAUCCUGGGGCUGAAGUAGGUCCCAAGGGUAUGGCUGUUCGCCAUUUAAAGUGGUACGCGAGCUGGGUUUAGAACGUCGUGAGACAGUUCGGUCCCUAUCUGCCGUGGGCGCUGGAGAACUGAGGGGGGCUGCUCCUAGUACGAGAGGACCGGAGUGGACGCAUCACUGGUGUUCGGGUUGUCAUGCCAAUGGCACUGCCCGGUAGCUAAAUGCGGAAGAGAUAAGUGCUGAAAGCAUCUAAGCACGAAACUUGCCCCGAGAUGAGUUCUCCCUGACCCUUUAAGGGUCCUGAAGGAACGUUGAAGACGACGACGUUGAUAGGCCGGGUGUGUAAGCGCAGCGAUGCGUUGAGCUAACCGGUACUAAUGAACCGUGAGGCUUAACCUU